GGUGAUCGUGAUUAUUGGGUCUAAAGGGUCCGUAGCCGGUUGGUCAGUCCUCCGGGAAAUCUGAUAGCUCAACUAUUAGGCCUUCGGGGGAUACUGCCAGACUUGGAACCGGGAGAGGUAAGAGGUACUACAGGGGUAGGAGUGAAAUCUUGUAAUCCCUGUGGGACCACCUGUGGCGAAGGCGUCUUACCAGAACGGGUUCGACGGUGAGGGACGAAAGCUGGGGGCACGAACCGGAUUAGAUACCCGGGUAGUCCCAGCCGUAAACGAUGCUCGCUAGGUGUCAGGCAUGGCGCGACCGUGUCUGGUGCCGCAGGGAAGCCGUGAAGCGAGCCACCUGGGAAGUACGGCCGCAAGGCUGAAACUUAAAGGAAUUGGCGGGGGAGCACAACAACGGGUGAAAGCCUGCGGUUUAAUUGGACUCAACGCCGGACAACUCACCGGGGGCGACAGCAAUAUGUAGGCCAAGCUGAAGACUUUGCCUGAAUCGCUGAGGAGUGGUGCAUGG
RNAcentral lists this ribosomal RNA (508 nucleotides) under uncultured archaeon. Its description in RNAcentral is "bacterial SSU rRNA". It matches the Rfam family "Archaeal small subunit ribosomal RNA", at positions 490 to 997 of the family's 1478-position model. The record is from RNAcentral.